GAUGAACGCUGGCGGCGUGCCUAAUACAUGCAAGUCGAGCGGAGCGGGCGGGGGUGAGUAACACGUGGGACACCUCCUAUAAGACUGGGAUAAAUUCGGGAAACCGGAGCUAACCGGGAGACUCCUAGCUUGAUCCGCGGUGCAUUAGCUAGUUGGUAAGGUAACGGCUUACAAAGGCAACGAUGAGUAGCCGACCUGAGAGGUUGAUCGGCCACACUGGAACGGAGACACGGUCAAGACUCCUACGGGAGGCAGCAGUAGGGAAUCUGCCGCAAUGGGCGAAAGCCUGACGGAGCAACGCCGCGUGAGUGAUGAAGGUCUUCGGAUCGUAAAACUCUGUUAUUAGGGAAGCGGUACCUAAUCAGAAAGCCACGGCUAACUACGUGCCAGCAGCCGCGGUAAUAC
RNAcentral lists this ribosomal RNA (405 nucleotides) under uncultured bacterium. RNAcentral's name for it is "partial 16S ribosomal RNA". It matches the Rfam family "Bacterial small subunit ribosomal RNA", at positions 28 to 526 of the family's 1533-position model. The record is from RNAcentral.